AGAGUUUGAUCAUGGCUCAGAGCGAACGCUGGCGGCAGGCCUAACACAUGCAAGUCGAACGAGCCUUCGGGCUAGUGGCGGACGGGUGAGUAACACGUGGGAACGUACCUUUAGGUUCGGAACAACACAGGGAAACUUGUGCUAAUACCGAAUGUGCCCUUCGGGGGAAAGAUUUAUCGCCUUUAGAGCGGCCCGCGUUAGAUUAGCUAGUUGGUGAGGUAAAGGCUCACCAAGGCUACGAUCUAUAGCUGGUCUGAGAGGAUGAUCAGCCACAUUGGGACUGAGACACGGCCCAAACUCCUACGGGAGGCAGCAGUGGGGAAUCUUGCGCAAUGGUCGAAAGACUGACGCAGCCAUGCCGCGUGAAUGAUGAAGGUCUUAGGAUUGUAAAAUUCUUUCAGCAGGGACGAUAAUGACGGUACCUGCAGAAGAAGCCCCGGCUAACUUCGUGCCAGCAGCCGCGGUAAUACGAAGGGGGCUAGCGUUGCUCGGAAUUACUGGGCGUAAAGGGAGCGUAGGCGGGUUAUCAAGUUGGAGGUGAAAGCCCAGGGCUCAACCUUGGAAUUGCCUUCAAAACUGAUAGCCUAGAGUAUGAUAGAGGUAAGUGGAACUCCGAGUGUAGAGGUGAAAUUCGUAGAUAUUCGGAAGAACACCAGUGGCGAAGGCGACUUACUGGAUCAUGACUGACGCUGAGGCUCGAAAGCGUGGGGAGCAAACAGGAUUAGAUACCCUGGUAGUCCACGCUGUAAACGAUGAUUGCUAGUUGUCAGCCGGCAUGCCGGUUGGUGACGCA
Molecule: ribosomal RNA, 793 nt
Filed under: uncultured Asticcacaulis sp.
Lineage: Bacteria; Pseudomonadati; Pseudomonadota; Alphaproteobacteria; Caulobacterales; Caulobacteraceae
Description: bacterial SSU rRNA
Rfam family: Bacterial small subunit ribosomal RNA
Source: RNAcentral